Molecule: long non-coding RNA, 415 nt
Organism: Brachypodium distachyon (stiff brome)
Lineage: Eukaryota; Viridiplantae; Streptophyta; Magnoliopsida; Poales; Poaceae
Exons: 2
Source: RefSeq, a predicted model, not a curated record
GUGAGUGGGAAGGAAUGGACAAAGGGGAAGAAUUCGAGAAGGGGAAGAAGAAGAACUUGAAAUUUGAAUUGUUGUGCUGGUCCACUCCUUCACGCCUUCGCCCACUUCGUAUUGGUAUUUCCCUGCAAAAGCUCUUUGUGCGAGUCGAUCUUGCGCCAAAGCGGGAGCACCUACUACUGAAUGUGUUGGCGGCAGAGGCACGGGCUGAAGUGGUAGCAGGACAAGGGAGAACAAGGCCUCCCGUUGUUAGUUCAGUUUUGCUAUGUGUCGUGUUCGGAUGUAUCAUGUAAGAAAGAAAUUACAUGAAGACUGUUGCUAGAAAAAAAAGCUUCCACAUGUACAACUUUGUAUUUGUCUUGUUCAUGAAAGCAUGUUUCCUCGUGUUAAGCCACUAGGAAACUUUCAAGCAGUUUUU